RNAcentral lists this ribosomal RNA (442 nucleotides) under uncultured bacterium. RNAcentral describes it as "partial 16S ribosomal RNA". It matches the Rfam family "Bacterial small subunit ribosomal RNA", at positions 338 to 795 of the family's 1533-position model. The record is from RNAcentral.
CCUACGGGGGACAGCAGUAGGGAAUCUUUCACAAUGGGCGAAAGCCUGAUGGAGCAACGCCGCGUGCAGGAUGAAGGCCUUCGGGUUGUAAACUGCUUUUAUAAGCGAGAAAUAUGAUGGUAACUUAUGAAUAAGGAUCGGCUAACUACGUGCCAGCAGCCGCGGUCAUACGUAGGAGCCGAGCAUUAUCCGGAGUGACUGGGUGUAAAGAGUUGCGUAGGUGGGAUAAUAAGUAGCUAGUGAAAUCUGGUGGCUCAACCAUUCAGACUAUUAGCUAAACUGUUAAGCUCGAGACCGUUAGGGGUAACUGGAAUUUCUAGUGUAGGAGUGAAAUCCGUAGAUAUUAGAAGGAACACCAAUAGCGUAGGCAGGUUGCUGGGACGGUUCUGACACUAAGGCACGAAAGCGUAGGGAGCAAACGGGAUUAGAUACCCCAGUAGUC